Solanum lycopersicum (tomato) is the source of this 1653-nucleotide RNA transcript. It is a transcript of the gene named zinc finger transcription factor 57, with no coding region annotated. The record is from RefSeq and is marked validated. NCBI's taxonomy places the organism in Eukaryota, Viridiplantae, Streptophyta, Magnoliopsida, Solanales, Solanaceae.
GAACAAUGUUGUAAACGGGGGAAUUAGAAUAAUUUUUUAUUAAACCUAAAUAUAUUUCUAAGUAGAAGUAAAAAAAGAAAAUCCAACCGCCACCUCAGGGUUGGACUGUCAGAACUCAGAGGCAAAGGUGGAAGCCAUGUCCGAAAGGGUUCUUUGCAAGUUCUUUGCACAUGGGGCAUGUCUGAAGGGGGAUCAUUGUGAGUUUUCACAUGAUUGGAACAAUCCUUCUAAUAAUGUAUGUACCUACUACCAAAAAGGAGCUUGUGCUUAUGGAAGCAGGUGUAGAUAUGAUCAUGUUAAACUGUCUCGAUCACAACCUUCAGCUCAGUCUUCAGCACAACCUCAACAAUGUCUGCUUUCAAGUUCUACGCCUAUCAAUGUGUCUCCUGGAAUGGGUGCACAUAAUGCAGAUGUUCUGCCAGGCAUUUGUACUGAGUAUUUAGCUUCAAGCAGACCUUAUGACGCUUCCAGCCAAUCAGCAUGGAACCAAAAGUCAGAGCUUCAAGAUGCAUUAGAGAUUGAUGACAUGAUUGAGUUAAACAGUGAUAAUCCAGCUGAUCGGUCAAUCUGUGCUUUUGCUGCUGCUGGUAAUUGUCCUCGGGGAGAAAAGUGUCCUCGUGUUCAUGGAGAUCUGUGUCCAACCUGCGGAAAGCAUUGCUUGCAUCCUUUCAGGCCCGAGGAAAGAGAGGAGCAUAUAAAAACAUGUGAGAACAAGCAAAAGCACCUUGAUUUAUUGAAGCGCAGUCAAGAAAUAGAAUGCAGUGUAUGCCUUGAACGCGUUCUUUCCAAGUCAACAGCAGCUGAGAGGAAGUUUGGGAUCCUUUCUGAGUGUGAUCAUCCAUUUUGUGUAUCGUGUAUAAGGAAUUGGCGUGGCAGUUCUUCCUCUGGGAUGGAUGUUAAUUCUGCACUGAGGGCGUGUCCCAUAUGCAGAAAGCUUUCAUAUUUUGUCAUUCCAAGUGUUAUUUGGUACUUCACAAAAGAAGAGAAGGAAGAAAUAGUUGACAACUACAAAAACAAACUCAGAUCUAUUGAUUGCAAGCACUUUGACUUUGGGAAUGGGACUUGUCCAUUUGGGACUAGCUGUUUCUACAAGCAUCAACACCGUGAUGGUCGUGUGGAGGAAGUGGUACUACGCCAUCUUGGCUCUGAAGAUGGAAGCACAGUAAUCGCUAAAAAUAUCAGGCUCUCGGACUUCCUUAGGAAUUUCGAAAUUAGGUGAACAGUUUCUUUUAGUAAUUUCAAGACUUGUUUGUUUAUGUGGGGCUCCUUCAAUUCUGAAAAAUUUCAUGAACAAACGACAAUCCUGGACGUAAAUUUUUCGGUUGUAGACACUAUAGGUCCUCAUUUCGAAAUUCUUGUAAGUUUUUCGAUUGGUAUGAUCCUGAAUUUCCGACCCAAGCGAAUAUUGUAAUUUUGGGUUUGUUGAAGAAAACCAACAAACAAGAAGAACAGCUCAAGUGCAAAUGGAUAUUGAAACUGAUUUUGGGUAUUAGUUUGAUAUGCAAUGUGAUAUUGUUCUUUUAUUUAGUGUGUCGAUUUUUUUUAAGGCAAUUUUUAUGAAGGCAAAAUCAUUUGGCUCUAGGGUACUCAUUUUGUGGAUUAGUUUGGUUUGGUGUUCUAUUAAUGUAUGUUUUUGCUGUUUUUGCUGAUCAA